UAGUCUGGGAAACUGCCCGAUGGAGGGGGAUAACUACUGGAAACGGUAGCUAAUACCGCAUAACGUCGCAAGACCAAAGAGGGGGACCUUCGGGCCUCUUGCCAUCGGAUGUGCCCAGAUGGGAUUAGCUAGUAGGUGGGGUAACGGCUCACCUAGGCGACGAUCCCUAGCUGGUCUGAGAGGAUGACCAGCCACACUGGAACUGAGACACGGUCCAG
RNAcentral lists this ribosomal RNA (218 nucleotides) under uncultured bacterium. RNAcentral's name for it is "partial 16S ribosomal RNA". It matches the Rfam family "Bacterial small subunit ribosomal RNA", at positions 113 to 334 of the family's 1533-position model. The record is from RNAcentral.